CAGGACGAACGCUGGCGGCGUGCCUAAUACAUGCAAGUCGAACGGUCUUUCUAUGGAAGCUUGCUCCACUGAGAAGAUAGUGGCGAACGGGUGAGUAACACGUGGGUAACCUGCCCAUAAGAGGGGGAUAACAUCCGGAAACGGGUGCUAAUACCGCAUAGUUUCUUGAUCGCAUGAUCGGGAAGGAAAGACGGCCUUUGUGCUGUCGCUUAUGGAUGGACCCGCGGCGUAUUAGUUAGUUGGUGAGGUAACGGCUCACCAAGACGAUGAUACGUAGCCGACCUGAGAGGGUGAUCGGCCACAUUGGGACUGAGACACGGCCCAAACUCCUACGGGAGGCAGCAGUAGGGAAUCUUCCGCAAUGGACGAAAGUCUGACGGAGCAACGCCGCGUGAGUGAAGAAAAGGUUUUCGGAUCGUAAAACUCUGUUGUCAGAGAAGAACAAGUUGGAGAGUAACUGCUCCAGCCUUGACGGUAUCUGACCAGAAAGCCACGGCUAACUACGUGCCAGCCGCUGC
RNAcentral lists this ribosomal RNA (518 nucleotides) under uncultured bacterium. Its description in RNAcentral is "bacterial SSU rRNA". It matches the Rfam family "Bacterial small subunit ribosomal RNA", at positions 25 to 518 of the family's 1533-position model. The record is from RNAcentral.